This 477-nucleotide ribosomal RNA is filed under the name uncultured crenarchaeote. Its description in RNAcentral is "partial 16S ribosomal RNA". Lineage: Archaea; Thermoproteati; Thermoproteota. The record is from RNAcentral.
UCGCUUCACGGCUUCCCUACGGCACCARUCACGGUCGCACCGUGACUGACACCUAGCGAGCAUCGUUUACGGCUAGGACUACCCGGGUAUCUAAUCCGGUUCGUGCCCCUAGCUUUCGUCCCUUACCGUCGGACCCGUUCUGGUGAGACGCCUUCGCCACUGGUGGUCCCCCGAGGAUCACAAGAUUUCACCCCUACCCCCAAGGUACCUCUCACCUCUCCCGGUCCCAAGCCAAACAGUAUCCCCUAGCAGCCUGACAGUUGAGCUGCCAGAUUUCCCAAGGGACUUACUUGGCCGGCUACAGACCCUUUAGACCCAAUAAUAACGGUUACCACUCGGGCCGCCGGUGUUACCGCGGCGGCUGGCACCGGUCUUGCCCGGCCCUUGCUAACAGAUGCUUUUUAGGCAUCUGGACAGCCAACAUUAUAUGCUGGCACUCGAGAUUCCCUUAUCACGGUUUCCCGAUUGUAAAGUUUU